UAGAGAUAGCUGAACCUUUAUUCUGUGCCACUGCUGAGUUACACCUAGGUUGUAACUCUGAGAUUAGAGUGAUUCAGCAACAUGUGAUAACAAACACAGUUAUCAGUGCUGUGGGUUUGGCUAAGCCUGUGAUAGACAAUGAAGCCAACAGCAGCCAACUUGGAUUAAUGAGAGUCUCCCAUGAACUGGAAGUGCUGAUAAUUCCUUAGUUUGGAGAGUGACUGAAAAAAAAUCAUUCAUACAGUUUGCAAAGGCACUUUUAAUAUUAAAUUAGUCUAGCUGUGAUGAAGGAUUGUACAUUAACAGGAGCUGCAGCAGCCUGUCACCAGGAAAUACUGCUUUAUUCAGAAUGGGUGACAUCAAAGAAAUGCCAUGGAGCAGUCAACCCAGAACUCAUAGUUGCCCAUCAAUCGCUCAGUAGUCAG
Molecule: long non-coding RNA, 425 nt
Filed under: Crocodylus porosus (Australian saltwater crocodile)
Lineage: Eukaryota; Metazoa; Chordata; Crocodylia; Crocodylidae
Description: lncRNA (ENSCPRG00005016530.1)
Source: RNAcentral